This 14577-nucleotide long non-coding RNA is filed under the name Ananas comosus (pineapple). Its description in RNAcentral is "long non-coding RNA (ACOM_LNC018080)". Lineage: Eukaryota; Viridiplantae; Streptophyta; Magnoliopsida; Poales; Bromeliaceae. The record is from RNAcentral.
ACAUACACAAACGGCUUACACGAGGGUAAGCAAUAGCCAUUAGUGAAAGAAUAAGGAAACUAAACAUUCACUUGUACUAUGAUUCAAUUUAGAUCAUAUACAUACAUCCAACUUGUAAUUUUUCGAAUUCCUUACUUCUCGUUUCAUCAUUUCUUUCUUACAUCACAUUUACCUCAAAAUACAUAUUACAUUCUUUUCUUUACAUUAUUUACCAUCAUAUACAAAAGAUGAUCAUAGGGUACUUUACUACAAAAUGAAACUCAACUUUGGUGGCCUCUGACUAAGGCGCGAUACCUUUACCUCGGUCGCUCGUCGGCUCGCUCGGUCCCGGCUCUGUGGAAAUAGUGGGGUGAGAACUACAACAAAGUUUCUAGUGGGUUUGGCCUCAACAUCACCGACUUUCCCACUAGGACUAACUCAGGCAUAAUAGAAAGAAUAAGCUGCAUAUAGUAACCAAUCUAUACAUGAUGCUAAUAUGCCUGAACAACAAAGCAAGGAGUAUGCUCAACAUUAAACAUAUGCAGAUUAUGCAAGUUCUUUCGUUCUUUACACUUUACACUUUACACUUUGUUCUUUACUCUUUGUUCUUUACUCUUUAAUCCCAAGGCUAAUCCGGGGGUUUCGCUACAUUAACUUGCUUCACAUUAAGUCCAUCAUCGCAGGAACUCACCGGCUAGGACCGUCCUUCGUGUUUACUCCAACCCGUGAUGCAUAACUCCGAAGCGCAUCGCCCGAGGGGGAGCGACCGCCCUCGAGCACGGAACUCAUAGCAAGUAUGAUCAUAUCCUUAACUCAAAGGAUUAUAAGUUCAAUCUUGACUUUACACUAGCUCUAGUGUUCUUUACAUCACUUUAUGUUGCAAACUCAUGCACUCACAUUCUUUACAUUUUCAUUACUCUUGCUAACUCUAGCAUUCUUGUUCUUUACAAUUCUUGUUCCUAUUGCCCCACUUUACUUUAACUUUACACGUUGUCAUUUUCAUCAUUCUUUUCAUCACUUUAGUUCUUUACAUCACACUAACUCUAGUGUCAUUUCACAUCACUCUGUUCUUUUGCUCACUUUGGAUGCUCACUUUUCUCUCAUGCAUACACAUAGGGUUUUCGACAUCACAUAGUUCUCAUUCAUCAUAUUAUGCAAGUUGUACUCACAAUCAUGCAUCAUUACAUUUUCAUCAUACUUUACUCUUAAAUGCAUGCAGCAAAUAUGUAACAUAUGCUCAAAUGAAUGACAUAUUAGGCAUAGAGAGAAGUUCAAUGAGUUUGAGAAGCACCACCCACCUCGUAGGCUUUCCAAGGUGCUCCGAUAAUUUUCUUGGGAUUUUUUUUAGUCGCCCGGUUCACUACCUGCGGCAAAAUGAAGCCCUAUUAGGCCAUUUUGCUCAUAUCUUUACUUUGGCUUUUUGUAACGUUAAUCCGAGCGCACCAACGCGUCGGAAAUAUCCCCAAUUAGAUUUUUGAAGGGUCAAUUUCACUUAGGAAUCCCCAUGAGCAAAAGCCCCAAUUUGGGUGCCCUAGCUCCAUUGCAUGUGUAAACCUAGGGUUUGAUCUCAUUGGGAAGCUAAAGUAGCUUCAUUAUACUCUAAAUAGUCCAUUAGAAUCAUCCCUAGCUCACUCCAAACCCUAGUUUGGAUUUCACCAUGAGAGGUGAUGGAGCUCACCUCAAGCUCCACCAUUUUCAUGGUCUUGAUCUCAAAAGAAGCAAAAAGAAAGCUUCAAAUACUCCAAAGGUUCCAUAAAAACCGUCUUCAUUCUAAUCCAAACCCUAGUUUGGAAUUAAACAUGAGAAGGGGCAAAGCUUACCUCUAAGCUUGCUCCUUUCUUGCUCUAGAGAGGAAGAAGAUGAAACCUCUUUGCUCCUUGAUCUCCUUUUUCACUUUCUUCUCCUUCUUCUCCUUCUUUUCUUCCUUUCUUCCUUUCUUCUUCUUCUCCUUUGACUUCUAGAGAGAGAGGGGGAGAGAAGAGAGUGUGAGAGGGUGAGGAAAUGAGAGAAAUAUCUCAUUUGCCCUCAUACAUAGCUAUUGGGUUGCAAAAUUGCAGCUAAACCCCUCAGCUUUUAUCUCUGUGCACUGCUUGGACUGGGCAGUUUUCGCAGGCAGAGACCGGUCUCCCCGAGCAGGGACCGGUUCCCGAAGGUCCACCCUGCGCAGCCAGAGCUGCUGCGCGCAAUGCGACGGUCUCCCCUCCUGUGGGACGGUCUCUGGCGGGACGUCUCCACAAGGCAGAGACCGGCGGCCCGAGAGCCUGCUCUUCCAGGACUUUAGCCGAUUUUUCGCUGUCUUAUUCUGGGCACGCCGUUCGGGGACGGUCCUCCCACCAGGGACCGGCGCCGAGAGCCUUCAAGAUCUGCAGUCAAAUUUUUGAUCCUUUAGCUCUCGAAACACCUCCCGUACUCACUUUAAUAUUUUUAACCCUGUCGGACUUUCCGAAGUGCACCGUCCUCGCACUUUUGUGUCAAUGCACUAAAGUUCGACAUCUUUUUUAUUUUUUCAUUUCAGGUAUAUUAUAUUCUCACCCUUUAAAAUGUGAAUUUCGUCCGCGAUAUUACGCCAGUACUCUUAACUCGUCAGACUCAAAUAAGUGCGGAUACUUCUUCCGCAUGGUUUCCGUCGGUCCCAGAGUCGGCUUCUCGCGCCGGCUGUGGUGCUCAUUGGAUUUACAUACUCGGAAAUCUUGCGACUUCGCAACUGUUUAACUUCUCGACAUUUGGAUUGCACCACGCGCGGUACUCCUGUAAGUACAUAUCCUACGUAACUCUACGGGCUCAUACUCUAACACAUGUUGUUCGCGUAUUAGACUGAAUAUACUUUCGGAGUUUUGGACACAUGCAAACACAUUUGAUACUCCCGCGGUCUUGGUGCUAGUGCGAGUUUAUCGCCCCGCACCCACAUGUUCCAAUAUCUCAAACGGUCCGACAUAACGGGACUUAGUUUUCCACGGACCCCAAAUCGGUUUGGACUCCUCCGCAUUCGGCCGCAGUACUCUCAGAUACACGCGUCUCCACGCGAACUCUAAAUCCUUUCUCCUCUUGUCGCAUAACUCGUUUUGCGAGAUUGCGCUGCCGCUAAUGCGUUUGACGCAGCAGGCGACUUUCUGCUGUCGCUCCCGGCCACUUACAUCGGGCAAGAGCCGCAUCUCUCGGCGACGUCGCUCCGAUGGUAGUGAGACGUACACUUGCGAAUCCAUAUAGUGCCCUUUUCAAACGGCGCCAUCACUAUGCUUUCUUGAUAACUGUUCAUUAUAGGCGAACUCCGCCAUUCGGCAGAGAUAUCAUGCCAUCCGUCCUAUUGUAAUCUAGUAAUCACGCUCGAAGCAGAGUCCUCGACGUUUGUAUCGUCCUCUCUGACUGUCAUCACUCUGAGGAUUGAAACGCCAGUAGCUAAAGUCGAGCCGCGUGGCUAGCUGCGUCUUGCAAACUCUUCCAAAAAUGGGAUGUGAACCUGGGGUCUCGAUCCGACACGAUCGAUACUGGAACCCCAUGAAGUCUCACAACCUCGUCGAGAUACACUUGAGCUAACUUGUCUCCCGACCACAUAGUAUGUAUCGGCAAGAAGUGCGCCGACUUUGUUAAUCGAUCCACUAUCACCCAUACCGCAUCGUGUCCACCUUGCGAUCGAGGCAAACCGGUGACAAAGUCCAUUGCUAUGUCUUCCCAUUUCCAAACGGGUAUUGGUAGACUUUGUAGCUUUCCCGCUGGAAAUCGGCGCUCGGCUUUCACUUGUUGGCAUGUUAAACAUUGCGCCACAAACUCUCCAAUAUCUCUUUUCAUACCCGGCCACCAAUAAUGCUCCUUCAAGUCUUUGUACAUUUUAGUGCCACCGGGGUGUAUACUAUAAGGGGAUUGGUGCGCCUCUUGCAUAAUCGCCUUUCGCAACUCGUCAUCUUUAGGCAGACACCAUCGAUUUAGAAAUCGAAGUGCGCCAUCAGCUCCAAUGCCAAAGUCUUCGGCAUUGCCAUUCUCUACUUCACUUCGCACCUUUUGAAGGUAAGGAUCCGAGGCUUGGAGAUCCUUGAUUCUUUCCAAUAGGGUCGGUUGCACAACUAAUGCGACAAGUGUAGCCGGCACUCCCGGCGCUACCACUUCCAACCCGAAUCGUUGCAUUUCCUUUUGCAAUAGCGGUUGAGGCGUAAUUGCCGUCGCUAAGUUUUUCGCCAAUUUUCUACUUAGAGCAUCGGCCACGACAUUGGCUUUCCCUGGGUGGUAUAAUAUGGUGACAUCAUAGUCCUUUAACAACUCUAACCACCGCCGCUGCCGCAUGUUCAACUCUUUCUGGGUGAACAAGUACUUUAGCUCUUGUGAUCGGUGUAGACCUCACAAUGUUCACCGUAUAAGUAAUGCCUCCAAAGCUUCAGCGCGAAAAUCACCGCGGCUAACUCGAGGUCGUGAAUCGGGUAGUUCUUCUCAUAACUCUUUAUUUGGCGCGAUGCAUAUGCAAUGACUCGCCCAUUUUGCAUUAACACACACCCGAGACCCACAUAAGAGGCAUCACUAUACACUACGAAAGUCUCCCCCGGAGUCGGCAAAGCAAGCACCGGGGUCGACGUCAACUUGCUCUUUAACUCCUCGAAGCUUCGAUCGCAAUCGUCGCUCCACACGUACUUUACUCCUUUAUGCGUGAGGCGCGUUAGUGGAGUGGUUAUUUUGGCGAACCCCUCCACGAACCGGCGAUAGUAGCCCGCCAGUCCAAGAAAACUGCGGAUCUCCGCUACAUUCGUCGGGCGAGGCCAAUCCUUGAUCGCCUCCACUUUCUUCGGGUCUACUGACACUCCGUCGCCCGACACCACAUGGCCCAAAAAUGUGACCUUCUUUAGCCAAAAGUCACACUUCUUUAACUUUGCAUAGAGCUUCUCCUGCCUGAGUAUCUGCAACACAGCUCCGAGAUGCUCUUCGUGCUCCUCUUCACUUUUCGAGUAAACCAACACGUCGUCUAUAAACACUACGACGCAUCGAUCCAACAAUGGCCUAAAGACUCGAUUCAUCAAGUCCAUAAAUGCUGCCGGGGCAUUAGUAAGCCCAAACGGCAUUACCGUAAACUCAUAAUGGCCAUACCGCGUAGGAGAGAAUCUCCGGAUGUAACAAAGGAUCAUAAGUGGGAUGCCUAUGGCACUCGCAACAGCCGUCAAGUUGAAGAAUGGGCGAUCGACCGGUAUCAAACAAAGCUCUAGCUCGAUAAUACCAAUAAGUUAUAAAUGAUACCUGCGAGUCACAUUCCGGCUGCCGCGAGCCGGUACCUCAGUCUGAGCCGCGUACAGGUGGGCGCCCGCUCGGGGCCUGGUCGUGAACCCGCUCCUGCCUGUCGCAGAAUCUGGCGGCCGGUCCUACACUGGUGGUUGAGCAGUAGAUGUCCAUCUGGCGACCUGGUCGAUGACUGGUGAUGAUCGCCAGCAAGAGGCCUGGCAGGAGCUCCUCAGGCAAGUUCCGACUGGAAGUGGGCCUCCUGGCACCAAAAAGCACCUCCGGCUGCGUGACCUGCCGCGGUAAUGAAGGGCGCCAAGAUCACAGCACGGGGGCCGGCGACGAUCGGUCUCCUCGCUGGUAGAUCGCCGCCGCCUCCGCGACUCGGCUCCUGCUCGCUGGGUGUCCUCGACGGCCUCCUUGAGUUCGUCCUGACUCGCACCCCUCAGUCGCGGGCCUUCUGCUUUCGCUUUCUCUCAAGCUCUCGCGACGCUCCUUGCAGAUUCCGCGCCGCUCCUGCCUUCCCCAAUCAUAAGCUCGAUCCACAACCUCUGGGUAGGUCCUGGAGGUUGGAAGACUCCACCAACGCGAAAAUAUGAGAGGCACGCAAACUCGUGCGCCCAAAGAAUGCGGGCCCUUGUCCUCGUGUCAUCCCUCUACAACAAACGGUACACAGUGAGAUAAUCGAGAAAACUCCCAUCUCGCCUCGGCACGGACCCGCUCUCCUGGCGCAACGUCUGAGCAUGCGCAAGUCUCUCCAGUCUUCCUCUUUGACGGUGGUAGGGAAGUAUGCGCCAGAAGAAGCUGCCUUGAAUCGCGUCCAAUUUUGUGAUCGCUGUCAAGUCGGUGCUGGGAUUGUCCUGGAUCACGCAACCACCAACGUAGGCUCGCCGUCCAGAAAGUGAGUGCGCGAGCCAAUACCUGUCGCUCGGUCUGCCCUUUCCUCACGAAGGUAUCUUCGAAAUUAGUUUCUCCAUUAUCAUCAACAGCACUCUCAACAAUCCAGUGUCGACGUUCUGCCAUCGAACAUCAACUCGGCUGCACUCCUGAACUCACUGAGCGGCGGCUCCAUGAGCGAUCCCGCUCGGUUCCCAUCGCCAUCACGGGAAAGGCCACCCCGUCGCCGGUCUCUGCACUGGGACCCGCCAGCCACCUCCCCUCGCCAUCGGUGUGGUCGCCGGUACCGCACGGAAGACUGGCAGCGGGGGACUGGCGCCCCGGUCGUGCGACUCGCACCACGGUGCUGCAGGUGUAGACCCUGGGUUUCCAUCGAAUACUGCCGCCGCUGAUGUAGGAGGUCUCCAGAUGCUUCAUCCCCCGCCUCCUGGCCGCUGAGCCAGCCUUCAGCCCUGUCGCUGCGCCGCUGCCCGCGGUCUGCUGCGCCAACAGAUCAGUGAGAACCUGGCAAGCUGGUCCUGAAUGUCACGGACCUCAACUAGAUGCCGGAAGUAAGUGGAGUUCUCAACCUCCUCGGUGAUAAAGUGCCCGGCAUCACUCCGCCCCGCAAGAUCUGGGAGGCGAGUAAUUCGGCUCGGCGCUAAGAACAUAAAGGUGCAAGUUAGCUACCCGGCACUAUCGGAAUCGCCCGGCUCAAAUAGAUAAAACCGCAAAUCAUGCGAAGUUAAGGAAGUGUCCUUCACUACUAACACCCCUGAUGUUACGUUUGUCGGCCGGCCAAACGUAACCCUCCGCUAAGAUAGAAACCAUACACUAGGCCGGAUCAAACUCAACUUUUAAGUUGCUCAUAAACCAAUCGCAAUACUUAUCGCUCACGAAGUCAAUUAGAGCCCCGUCUCUCACGAGCUGCUAAUUGCUAAAUCCCAACCGGCUAAAGGUCUGCUAGUCCACUAAGACUCCAACCUCUAGGCUCUGAUACCUAAAUUAAUCUGUCACGGGCGAUUCCCCGGGACCGGCAGAGGCCUCCCGUAGCGUGUCCAGGACCGUGGCCCAUAUGUCUGCAGCAUAUAAGGAGUCUAGAGUAAGAUAAGCGAAGUAAGGAGCGAGAAGAAAAAGAAACGCAUAGCAAAACUAGUGAUAUCAGAGCAGUAUGAUUAUCUAUGUCUUUUUCUUAUAACAGUACAAGGAAAAGAGGCAUACUACAACGGGCAUAAAAGUGAAACAUAAGUAGUACAAUAUCUGCUCUCCCACCACGUACAAAAAUGGUGGUUCUCUAGUACAGCUGGAAAACUACUCAACGGUCUCACAAAAGAAACAAGAAGAAGGUAGAUCCACCUAUUCAACGAUUCCGUUCGGUAAGCAGCUAGCCGAGGUAAUAGCUUUUCCGCGAUCUCCUGGGCCUGCAUUCUCUCGUGUGGAAAGCUCUGAAAAACAACGGAGAAUAAAGAAAGGGCGUGAGAACGAUAAUUAUAGUUCCAGUUGGCAAUUACUGACCCCCUUAGCUCAUGCUCCACCUAGGCCCAAACUAAGGGUAAGCAACGAUAAUAAUAAUAAGCAAUAAGGAGUAUGCACAAUAAACUGCUGAAGAAAGCAUACUGAAAUGCUAGUCUACUGUGUCCUCAGUAAGCAUAGUUGGUCAACCAGAAAGUAGCUCUAUUCUAUCAUUUUACGAUUAAGUCCAAUGGGCCAACUAGUUAAUAUUCGUUAACCUUUGUCAAUACAUGAAUGUAGAAGUCUAUCAUGGCAACGCAAGUAUACUACAAGUCUCACACUAUGCUAAAAUGCAUUGUAAAUGUUAACAACUUACUAAGGGUCCUAUUAAGUAGUGAUCCAUUCUCUCAACGUCGUGUCGAUUUUCAUUUCCAAUUAAGGAUGCUACCCAAGGUAGUCCGGGCUGUGCCGCCUAAGUGCCUGCUGGUAGUCCGCACAUUCUACACAUGGAAUGUUCUGUCGCCACUGACCCCUAGCGUCUCAUACGCGCAACGAGGCGAGCAAAAGUCGUAUAGGCAACGCCGGAUGCCGGCUUUGGGGAGCGACCCUCCCAGCAACUGUGCGAAUGAGCACCAAAUGGCAAACAAAGCAAGUCACUGUUCUCAAGUACCCAACCCUCAUGUCUCCUACCUGUAUACGUCGCUAGCAACCCGACAGAUCUAGUUCAAAGUCAUAUAUGUGAAGUCCCAGACACAUAUCACAUUGCUUAGUGCCUCUUAUGAACAGCUUAAGCUGCCACAACUAAAUCAUGUCCAAUUAAAGACAUUAAACAUUAAUGCUCACUAAGCCCCGGGCCCCAAUGCCCUUAUGACAUUGCCCAACCUCAACAAGUUCAUCUAGUCCCUAAGCCUCUCAUAGUCCAAAAAUUCCCUCAAUGUGCAGCAUACUGGUAAUAUAUUGAACGCAUGAAAAGCAAGGUUUCGUUUUCAUAAUAGGGAUUAUAAUCUUCAUAGUCUCGACUAUGAAUGCUAGGCCACACAUCAUGCUCCGCUACUAUUAUAAAGGUCCCAAAAUUUACUAAACACAUAACCUAUGCUGUUAAGACAUUAUAAAAUUCAUAAUAAAUACGUUAAAUGAAAAUACAAGAAUUUCAACUUUUCAAAACAUUUAACACCAAAAUAGGAGCAUUUUCUCAAUUGUAUGUUAGGCCAAACGCUACACGGGAAUCCGUCGGCGUGCUCGCUUCGAAUCGUCGAAUGGAGUUGUCCACGAGCCUGCAGAUACCCUAAAAAGAUAAUCAGGCGAAAAGAACGAAGGGCCAUACGACCAUCUAAUAAUACAAACAUAAUCUAGAAGCAAAAAGGCCAAAACUAACCCUCAAAGAUAGAAAUCUCUUCCAAACUCCAAAAGAAGCUUUGAACCCCUCCAAUCCAAGCCCUACGAAGGUAUUCUAAAAGACCAACCAAUCAAGCGCUGCAAAAGCCCAGGUUCAGAAAAAGCCAAUAAACCUAAGUCCCAAAACUAGGGUUUUCAUUCUCCAAAAAUCACCCAAAACAAGAACUACAGGAGGGAAACAUGGUAACUAACCCCUUUGGAAGCUUCAAUGCCAAACUCGAAAAUGCCCUAGGGUUUUAAGUUUCGGUCAGCCACUUAACUCUACACAGCAAGCUCCAAGCCUGGCAAGGUGGAAAAGAGAGAAAGUGGUUGAGCUCCAAGUCCCUCAAGCUAGCUCACUCCCUAUCUUCUCCUCCUUACUUCUUCUCUUAUCUUCUCUCUAGGAAGUGUAGGGAGAGGAUGAGAAUCGAGAAAAUGAGAGAGGGGAGAGGGGAAAUGGCUAAUAACCCACUAAUGUAAGCGAAAAUCUGGAAAGGUCCUCCCAAAAAUCCAAUAUUUGCAACAGCCCGCGUCUGGGCAUUUUCAGCCCAGAGGACCGUCUCUCCCCAGCAGGGACCCCGCGGUUCUCGUCGCAUGCGAACGAACUGAAAAACAAGCGUUCGGGAACCGGUCUCUCCCUAGCCGGGUACCGGUCUCUCACAUGCAAGACGCGCUCGGGGACGCCGUUCGCCUGCCAGGGGGACGCGGUGUGCCUUCAGGCUGCCUCAACACUGCUGCAUUGGGGACCGGUCUCUCUUCCGGAUCGAUCCCCGAGGAGUAAAAAACUCUAGGACUUGUCCAGAAAUUCUAAUUUUCGAACUUUUAGUCGAAAAACAUUCUACAACCGCUCCACCAAGUUGUGAAAACUCGAAUACAUCCAAAACACUCGAACCCUCGCAAUUUGCAAAGGUCCAGUGUGUUACACAUGGGUUUACACCGGCGAUGUCGGCCUGGCGCUGCUUCAUCCCCCGUCAGCCGAAAGGAAUCGAGAGCGCUAGCGCCGAGUCCCUUGCGGCCGUCAGCGUGGAGAGCCAAUCAACCUGCAGCACCCGACGAGUCGUAGUGAGCAGUAUAGAUUGUGAUUAGAGGCACAGAGCUAGAGCAGUGUCGUUGAUACAAGGCGCAUCUUGCAUUCAUUCAUCUAGACUUCAUUUCUAAUACUCAUGGCAUAGAGAUGGUGUACAAGAGGAUUACUAGUGGUGAAUGCCCCAGAGCAUUCCGUCAGUGUCACCUAACGAGUGUUUGGCGUGCUCCAGUGCAAAUAGCGAUUGAUUAUGCAUUGAUCUGCUAGUGCUAGAUGCAGAUGUGGGGCUUCGAUGUCACUAUUGGGGACCAACGGCUCUCCGAAGUACUAUGCGGUGAAGAUUGUGAAGGCUAAGGUGAUCACUUUUCGUGUAGCAUCUAAUCUAGAAGUUAUUUAUGUUUUCUGAUCCAAGCGUGAAAAGUAGGCGCUUCGCGGCGACUAUAUCGCUGUGAGGGUCGAAGAGAAUGAUCAUAGGAAGGGUGAAGGCCUAUUUGGCAACGCAUAGGUGGAUGCUCGAAAGGAGUACCACAGAGUUGGGGAUAUUCGACGAUAGCGUGCGAGUUCCCCGAUGUAUUUCCGAGGCGGAGUCUACGGACUGCCACCGGACGGGAAGUUGAGUUUGUCAUUGACUGUGAUUCCCGGGGCGGAACUCGUUCGAAGGCGGCCGCGUAUAGAAUGGCCCCGUGGAGCUAAAGAGCUACAAAGGUCAAACUACAGACUUGCUUACUAAGGGCUUUGUUGAGCCGAGUGUUCACGCGUGGGACUCCGUGCUAUUGUGAAGAAAAAGGAUGGCAACACUUACGAUCUGCUAGAUUAUUCGCGUAGUGCACAAAUAACAGUAAAGAACAAGUACUGCCGUUAUCCGAAGGAUUGCCGAUGCUAUUCGAUCAUGUUGCAAGGUUCCAAGGUGUAUUCGAAGAUUGAUCUCCAAUCGGGGUAUCAUCAAUUAAAAUCAGCCGAAAGAUGGCAUCAAACGGCGUACCGUAUCGNNNNNNNNNNNNNNNNNNNNNNNNNNNNNNNNNNNNNNNNNNNNNNNNNNNNNNNNNNNNNNNNNNNNNNNNNNNNNNNNNNNNNNNNNNNNNNNNNNNNUUAGGUCGGAAAACAUUCUACAACCCUCCACCAAGUGUGGAAAAGCUCGAAAUACAUCCAAGCACUCGAACCUCGCAAUUUGCAAAGGUCCAGUGUGUUACAUCGUGCUUCGCCGCGACGGUGUCGGUGACGAGAGCAAGAAAGUUAGUCAACAGCGGUUGCAUAGCAUUUUUGGCAACUGUUGUGGAAGUGGAUCAAGUAGCUCCAACAUUAGAGGAGUUAUCGGUGGUACGGGAGUUCCCGGAUGUGUUUCUCGCGGAGUUACCGGGGAUACCACCGGAUCGGGAGAUCGAGUUCGUCAUAGAUUUGAUUCCCAGUACUGCACCGAUCUCGAAGGCUCCGUAUCGAAUGGCGCUGGCGGAACUGAAAGAAUUGAGGAGUCAGUUGCAAGAUCUUCUUGACAAACAGUUUAUCCGGCCAAGUGUAUCACUGUGGGGAGCCCCGGUGUUGUUUGUACGAAAGAAAGAUGGAUCGUUUCGACUCUGUGUGGAUUAUCGAGAGUUGAACAAGGUCACGAUCAAGAAUAAGUACCCACUCCCCCGAAUCGAUGAUUUGUUCGACCAGUUGCAGGGGUUGUGUGUGUACUCAAAAAUAGAUUUGCAGUCCGGCUAUCACCAGUUGAAGAUCAAGCCGGAGGAUGUGCAGAAAACUGCGUUCCGUACGCGGUACGGGCACUAUGAAUUCACGGUUAUGCUAUUUGGACUCAUGAAUGCUCCAGCGGCGUUCUUGAACUUGAUGAACCGUGUCUUCAGAGAGUUUCUGGACCGAUUUAUCGUGGUCUUCAUAGACGACAUAUUGGUCUAUUCUCGCAGUGACGAGGAACAUGCCGAGCAUUUGAGGAUUGUGCUUCAAGUCCUUCAGGAGGAGAAGCUAUAUGCUAAGUUAAAGAAGUGUGACUUCUAGCUCCGAGAGGUCGCAUUUCUAGGGCACGUGAUUUCUGCUGGUGGAGUCUCAGUAGACCCAAGGAAAGUUGAGGCAAUCAAGGAUUGGCCGUGCCCGACGAAUGUCACGGAGGUUCGAAGCUUCGUGGGCUUGGCGGGCUACUAUAGACGGUUCGUGGAGGGCUUCUCGAAGAUAGUAAUUCCACUUACCGGUCUGACUCAGAAAGGCACCAAAUUUGUCUGGAGCGAGGAGUGCGACCGGAGUUUCAAGGAGUUGAAGGAGAAAUUAACUUCGACUCCGGUACUCGCUUUACCGAUGCAAGGCAAAGACUUCGUGGUCUAUAGCGAUACUUCCUAUCUAGGAUUGGGGUGUGUUUUGAUGCAGGGUGGGAAAGUAAUUGCUUAUGCAUUCCGUCAGCUGAAGAGCUAUGAAAAGAACUACCCCAUUCACGACUUGGAGCUAGCGGCGGUAAUCUUCGCCUUGAAGUUGUGGCGGCACUAUCUAUAUGGUGCGCAUUGCGAGAUCUAUACCGAUCACAAGAGCCUAAAAUAUUUGUUCACACAGAAAGAGCUCAACAUGCGUCAACGACGGUGGUUAGAAUUGUUAAAGGAUUACGACGUGAAUAUCCUUUACCACCUGGGGAAGGCGAAUAUGGUCGCAGAUGCACUGAGCAGAAAGUCCAUAGAGAACCUCGCUAUGUGGGUUACAAAUCAAACACCCCUAUGGCUGGACAUGGAGCGAAUGAACAUUGAGGUGGUUGCUCCCGAGAUUCCGGCUCACUUGACGGCACUCGUUGUCCAACUGACCUUGUUGGAGAGGAUAAAAAAUCUGCAACCCGCGGACCCAGAACUCCAAAAGGUGCGGCGUGACAUCGAGAAGGGUUGUGGCGGCGAUUUCAUGGUAGGCGCCGAUGGUGCACUUCGGUUUCGAAACCGAUGGUGUGUGCCAAACAACGAGGAGAUCCGAAGGCUAAUCUUGCAAGAGGCACAUUGGUCGCCUUAUUGCGAUCACCCGGGCGGCACCAAGAUGUAUUAGGGAUUAAAAAUGCACUAUUGGUGGUCGGGAAUGAAAAGUGAUAUUGGACGCUUCGUGGCGAAGUGCUUAGUAUGCCAACAAGUAAAGGCCGAGCGUCGAUUUCCAGUAGGAAAGCUUCAAAGCCUACCAAUCCCCAUUUGAAAAUGGGAAGAUAUAUCGAUGGACUUCGUGGUCGGCUUGCCUCGCUCAACGGGCAGCCACGAUGCGAUAUUGGUAAUUGUGGACCGAUUGACGAAGUCGGCUCACUUUUUGCCGAUCCACACCACGUGGGCAGGCGACAAGUUGGCGCAGGUGUACCUUGCUGAGAUAGUGAGGUUGCACGGGGUGCCAAAAUCGAUCGUGUCGUAUCGCGACCCCCCGUUUACUUCACACUUCUGGAAGAGCAUGCAAGAAGCGCUUGGCACACGGCUCGACUUCAGCACAGUAUUUCAUCCUCAGAUAGAUGGGCAAACUGAGAUGACCAUUCAAACUCUGAAGGAUAUGUUGUGAGCGUGUGUCAUCAACUAUAAAGGGAGUUGGUGUGAUCAUCUGCCGAUGGCCGAGUUCGCCUACAACAAUAGUUAUCACGCUAGUGUGGAGAUGGCACCAUUCGAGGCUCUCUAAGGGCAGAACUGUCGGUCUCCUAUACACUGGAGUGAUGUGGGCGAGCGUGCAGAGUUCAGCCCUAAUGUUCUGCGAGAAGCGGAGGAAAAAGUCCGCCUUGCGCGCAAGCGAUUGCUCACGGUGCAGUCGGGACAGAAAAGCUAUGCGGAUAGGCGCCGUCGAGAUAUAGAGUUCGCAGUGGGCGACCGCGUAUUCUAAAGGUUUUGCCAAUGCGGGGUGUGAAACGGUUUGAAGUACGGGAAAAGUUGAGUCCCCGGUACAUUGGACCCUAUGAAAUAUUGGAGCGAGUUAGUACGGUGGCUUAUUGGCUCGCCUUGCCGCCGAAGCUCGCGGAUGUACAUAAUGUGUUCCAUGUCUCCAACCUUCGCAAGUAUAUUCAUGACCCCGAGCACGCGAUGCUAUACGAGCCGCCGGAACUCUAAUAAGACUUGAGCUACGAGGAGUUUCCGGUGAUGGUUAUUGCUCGAGAAGUGCGAAAACUGAGAAGUCGCGAGAUUCCUUACGUGAAGAUCCGGUGGAGAAAUCAUGAUGAUUGUGAGGCCACCUAGGAACUCGAGGAUCUGAUGAGAAAGCAUCAUCCUCACUUGUUUGAGGAAUAAGGUAUAGAAACUGAGUUUUAAUUAAGUUGAAUCAGUUUUGUCACGCCCCGAGACCGAUACCAAUUUGGGCUGGCCCGAGCACGUCAAACAGACGCCGAACGGACAGAGUUUCGCCUGUCCGCCCAAGGCUCAUCACCUGUACAUUUUUAAGUAGAGAAAAGCACUAGCGGAAACAUACACAAACGGCUUACACGAGGGUAAGCAAUAGCCAUGAGUGAAAGAAAGGAAACUAAACAUCUACACAAGUACUAUGAUUCUCUUUUGAUCACAUACAUUGCAUUCAUAGUUCUUUACAUCCUUUUCAUCAUUUCUUUUUACAUUACAUUCUCGUUGAGAUAAACAUUACAUUCUUUUUCUUUUACAUCUCAAUUUAUCAAAUACAAAAGAACUACAAAAUGUAAACCCGACUUGGUAGUCACUGUCUAUGGCGCGAUACCUUUACCACGGUCGCUCGCCGGCUCGCUCGGUCCC